This 700-nucleotide ribosomal RNA is filed under the name uncultured bacterium. RNAcentral's name for it is "bacterial SSU rRNA". It matches the Rfam family "Bacterial small subunit ribosomal RNA", at positions 94 to 823 of the family's 1533-position model. The record is from RNAcentral.
AGUGGCGGACGGGUGAGUAACACGUAAGAAUUUACCUUUAGGAGGGGGAUAACAAUUGGAAACGAUUGCUAAUACCCCAUAGGCUUUCGAGUGAAAUGGAUUUUUCCGCCUAGAGAGAAGCUUGCGGCUGAUUAGCUUGUUGGUGAGGUAAUGGCUUACCAAGGCGACGAUCAGUAUCUGGUUUGAGAGGACGAUCAGACACACUGGAACUGAGACACGGUCCAGACUCCUACGGGAGGCAGCAGUGGGGAAUUUUCCGCAAUGGGCGAAAGCCUGACGGAGCAAUCUCGCGUGAGGGAUGACGGCCUAUGGGUUGUAAACCUCUUUUUUCAGGGAGGAAGAAAAUGACGUGUACCUGAAGAAUAAGCAUCGGCUAACUCCGUGCCAGCAGCCGCGGUAAGACGGAGGAUGCAAGUGUUAUCCGGAAUCACUGGGCGUAAAGCGUCUGUAGGUGGUUUACUAAGUCAACUGUUAAAUCUUGAAGCUCAACUUCAAAAUCGCAGUCGAAACUAGUAGACUAGAGUAUAGUAGGGGUAAAGGGAAUUUCCAGUGGAGCGGUGAAAUGCGUAGAGAUUGGAAAGAACACCGAUGGCGAAGGCGCUUUACUGGGCUAUUACUGACACUCAGAGACGAAAGCUAGGGUAGCAAAUGGGAUUAGAUACCCCAGUAGUCCUAGCCGUAAACAAUGGAUACUAGAUGU